This 394-nucleotide ribosomal RNA is filed under the name Escherichia coli. RNAcentral's name for it is "partial 23S ribosomal RNA". It matches the Rfam family "Bacterial large subunit ribosomal RNA", at positions 1 to 435 of the family's 2925-position model. Lineage: Bacteria; Pseudomonadati; Pseudomonadota; Gammaproteobacteria; Enterobacterales; Enterobacteriaceae. The record is from RNAcentral.
GUUAAGCGACUAAGCGUACACGGUGGAUGCCCUGGCAGUCAGAGGCGAUGAAGGACGUGCUAAUCUGCGAUAAGCGUCGGUAAGGUGAUAUGAACCGUUAUAACCGGCGAUUUCCGAAUGGGGAAACCCAGUGUGUUUCGACACACUAUCAUUAACUGAAUCCAUAGGUUAAUGAGGCGAACCGGGGGAACUGAAACAUCUAAGUACCCCGAGGAAAAGAAAUCAACCGAGAUUCCCCCAGUAGCGGCGAGCGAACGGGGAGCAGCCCAGAGCCUGAAUCAGUGUGUGUGUUAGUGGAAGCGUCUGGAAAGGCGCGCGAUACAGGGUGACAGCCCCGUACACAAAAAUGCACAUGCUGUGAGCUCGAUGAGUAGGGCGGGACACGUGGUAUCCU